UACGUAGGGGGCUAGCGUUGUCCGGAAUCAUUGGGCGUAAAGCGCGUGUAGGCGGCCCGGUAAGUCCGCUCUGAAAGUCGGGGGCUCAACCCUCGGAUGCGGGUGGAUACUGUCGGGCUUGAGUGCGGAAGAGGCGAGUGGAAUUCUCGGUGUAGCGGUGAAAUGCGUAGAUAUCGAGAGGAACACCUGCGGCGAAGGCGGGUUGCUGGGCCGACACUGACGCUGAGGCGCGAAAGCUAGGGGAGCGAACGGG
RNAcentral lists this ribosomal RNA (253 nucleotides) under uncultured bacterium. RNAcentral's name for it is "partial 16S ribosomal RNA". It matches the Rfam family "Bacterial small subunit ribosomal RNA", at positions 524 to 776 of the family's 1533-position model. The record is from RNAcentral.